This 433-nucleotide ribosomal RNA is filed under the name uncultured bacterium. RNAcentral describes it as "partial 16S ribosomal RNA". It matches the Rfam family "Bacterial small subunit ribosomal RNA", at positions 29 to 507 of the family's 1533-position model. The record is from RNAcentral.
AACGAACGCUGGCGGCAUGCCUAACACAUGCAAGUCGAACGAGACCUGCGGGUCUAGUGGCGCACGGGUGCGUAGCGCGGGGGAACCGGCCCUUAGGUUCGGAAUCACUCCCCGAAAGGGGUACAAAUACCGGAUAAGGUCUUCAGACCAAAGAUUUAUCGACUUUUGGUGGGGCGGCGUUGGCUUAGCUAGUUGGUAGGGUAAAAGCCUACCAAGGCGACGAGACAUAGCUGGUCUGAGAAGAUGGCCCGGCACCCUGGGACUGAGACCCGGCCCAGAUUCCUCCCGGUGGCCGCAGUGCGGAAUGUUCGACGCCGGGUGAAUGCCUGCUCCCGCCAUGUCGUGUGGGUGUGUUAGUCCUUACGGUUGGACUGCUCGUUUACCCUGGAUGGUAUUGACAGUACCGGGAGAGUAAGCUCCGGCUAACUCCGUG